RNAcentral lists this long non-coding RNA (4303 nucleotides) under Sus scrofa (pig). Its description in RNAcentral is "lncRNA (ENSSSCG00005003875.1)". The record is from RNAcentral. Lineage: Eukaryota; Metazoa; Chordata; Mammalia; Artiodactyla; Suidae.
UUUUUUUCUCCUGAUUAGAUUGGGUUAUUUCAGUUACCCUGUCAAGUUCACUGAUCAUUUCUGAUGUCUGGUCAGAUCUGUUGAACAGAUUUGAUUUUCAAAUCUCAGCUAUGAACUUUUCACCUCCGGAAUUUCUGUAUGAUUUGUUUGUAUAAUUUCUCUUUAUUGAUUACUCUAUUGUUCAUAAACUUAGUUCUUUGUCAAUUAUUUCCAUCAACUCUUUGAGAAUAUUUAAGACUCUGUAGUUAACUCUAAUUUCUGCGUUUGCUCAUGGAUGGUUUCAAUUUUUUUCACCUGUGAAUGACCCAUGGUGUUUUUGUUUGUUUGUUUGUUUGUUUUUAGGGCCGCACCCACAGCAGAUGGAAGGUCCCAGGCUAGGGGUCGAGUCCGAGCUACAGCUGCUGGUCUACACCACAGCCACAGCAACGCAGGAUCUGAGCUGUGUCUAUGACCUACACUGCAGCUUGCAGCAACGCCAGACCCUUAACGGGUACACUGAGGGAAGCCAGGGAUUGAACCCAUAUCCUCAGAGCGACAGCGUGGGGUCCUUAAGCUGCUGAGCCACAGUAGGAACCCCCACAGUUCUCUCUUCCUUUCCAUGUUUUGUAAUUGUGCGUGUGUGUGUGUGUGUGUGUGUGUGUGUUUCCCAUUUCUUGGGCCGCUCCCGCGGCAUAUGGAGGUUCCCAGGCUAGGGGUCAAAUGGGAGCUGUAGCCGCCGGCCUAUACCACAGCCACAGCUGCACCGGAUCCAAGCCACAUCUGCAACCUGUACCCCAGCUCACAGCAAUGCCGGAUCCUUAACUCACUGAGCGGGGCCAGGGAUCAAGUCCGGGUCCUCACGGAUGCGAGUCGGGUUCAUUAACCACAAGCCAGGACGGGAACUCAUUUGUUCUUUUUGAGUUGCGUAACUUCAUCUGCGUUGAGAGCACUUGCCCUCAUUUCAUGGGGUGUGGUCGCAGCUCAUGUCCUUUCUGCUGCCCCCGGCAUAUGCUUACGUCGCUGUUUUCUCUCCCUUUAGGGGUUUUCCUGGCUCUUUGCACAUCGAGUCAUUCUGGAUGGUUCUGGACAUCUUGCGUGGUCUCUGAAUCCUAUGUAAAGCCUCUAGAGAAUGUUAACUUUUUUUCUUUUUUUAAAGCAGGCACAUGAUCCAGCCAGGGUCAGACUGAACUGCCAACCUACCCGCUGUGCGCCGUGGUUCCAGGUCAGUGGUUCUCCAAGCUUGCCGAGCAGCGUGGGCAGCUCAAGGUGAGCCGGGGGGCGGUAUCCAGCUCCAGGGGGGGCUUUCUCUACCUUCCUCUAGGCCUUGAUGUCCUGUGCGUCCUGUCUCCUGACCCUCAGCUAACAGGCCCAGGUCUCGGCCCCCCCGUGACGUUACGCACCUCGUGGGGCCAGAUAAAGCCUGUCUCCCUCCCACCCCCGCCUGGACUGGCAGCGCCCCUGGUCCGGCCCCUCCGCGGGCCCACUGUCUCCAGGGUGUGCAGUGCUGAUGCCCAGGCCAUCCCAGAAGCUACGCCAGGAGACGCGGGGGGACAGUUGAGGACAGUCGUUGCUGCAGGGGCUGCUCUUCUGGGGAUGAUCCCCUGCUGUCGCUUCUUCCACGACCGAGACGGUUGCUUUGUCCCGUGAAUGCCCGAGACACAGGGCAGAGCGUGUUCACGCCAUGGGGACCUCAGGACGUGUCUCAAGUCAGAACUUCUGUGUUCACAGGUUUCGUCGUCUCACCAGAGCGCGUCUGAAACCUGCGAACACUGGUCACUGGGGACAGGAGCACGGAGGCGGGUCCACCUGGGUCUUUCCACCCCCGCACGCGGUGCAGCCUCACCUCCGCUCGGGCCUCAACUCACCACGCGGUGAUGGCACGGAGCCUCCAGAGCUGCCUCAGCCCACGAGGCACGGGGCCCAGACGCGCGCCUCCCCCAGCGGCUGCCACCCUCUGGUCUGAGGAGCUCGUCGGCUUCUACGAACCGAAGGCCUCCUCUCUCGACUCCUUUCUCGGGUGGAGGAAGGUCACCCUGCAGGAUGGCGGUCGCCUCCUCCUCCGCUCCAUUCACUUCGGCGUGAACUACGGCAUCACCAGAGCGGCUCCUCCGGAGCAAGAAGGGGCCGCGACCUAAAGCACUGGAAGCAGGGAUCCGCCGCGGACCCCGGCCCCAAAGGCGCGGCCGUCCAGGCCGCUGUCCGCACCGCCCUGCCUGUCUCUAGGGAGGGCGCCACUCUUCGCUCCGUGGGAACUGUCCUUGAAGGCGGUGCCACACCCCGGGUGACGGGCCGGGACCUGCGUGCCCGCCUGCCCCUUAGACACGGUUUCCGUCUCACAGGACGACGUGGCUCAGCUGCUUUGCAACGUCCCUUCCCAGGCUGAGCGCUGAGCCUGCAGGAGAAACGGCAGCUACGGGCUGUUCAACUCCAACUCGACGGCAACAGCCAGGCUGACUCAGCGGGGCCUGCGACCGGAGCCUGUGCCCGGGCACACGCGCUCCCCCUUCCCGCGGUGGAGCCCGGAGCUGGCACUGCUGUCGUCACAGCCGCUCCUUCCGACACUUGUUCCAGCGCACGAGGCCUCUGGCGAGCUCCGAACAGAGCAGUGCCUGCUUAAGCUUAUCCAAAGGACAAUGAUACUCUGUAUUCAAUUAAAAUUAAUAAAAAUAUUUUAUUGAGUUUCAGGAACUUGGUACGUUUAAAAUUUCAAAUCUUUGCACACAGAUCACCACUAUACCUUAUAGAAUAGUGGAGGUUAGGACCCGAAGAUUGUCACUUGUCUCCUUGUGUCACAAAGCACAGAAAUCCCAAGUCCUGACACGGCCCCACCCUCUGACCGUGACUCUGGCCUACUCUGUCGUCCUGGGAGGGGACGGUGCGAGGGGUGACGUGUCCGGAGAGCUCAACUGUCCGAGUGGAGACCCCCCGACUCGAGAGGAAGCUCAGUCCGCGCACGAACCCGGGAGGAGCCGCGUCACUCGCCUCCCGCGUGAGUCCCCCUUUUGCGUCUUGUCGGGUUCAGGGCGAAGCUGCUGAAAUGAAGUUUCUUGUCCCUGAGGGAGCGCAGACGUUUGGCAAAGGUCAGAGCAGACACUGCCUGCAGUGAGGCGCUUAGGAACAGCCGUGCGCGGCUGGGCAGGGUCCAGUGCGACGUGACCUCUGCAGCACCAGGCUUCCCCCAGGGCCACGGGAACCAGCUGUUUCUCCCAGGGCUCGGGGGCCACAGGGCUCCUGGGACUUCCGGGCUAAAUUCAAACAUAAAAAGUGCCUGCGGUGUGGUGGUUUGUUAAUCUGUGGGGUUUUCUGCCCUCUCCCUGGCAUUCUGAGAUUUCUAUGUGCCAGUGAGUAAGCCGACUGAACAAGACGGAGGAGCAGCAAAGAGACCGCCUCACCUGUGACAAGGGCGCGCGUUAGCGCCUGACAACGCAGCCUGUCCUCCUCUUCUUGGGCUCUGAGGACGGGCGCUCUCCCGACCCACGAGCCCACCAGGGAGCCCCCAGACCCACACAAUCUACACACGGGCUCGGCAUCACCCACCGACAGGCGGCGCCUGCAGGCGACGGUGGUGGGACGUGUCUCCUAGGAGCACGGGCCAGGCCAUCUGCCCGCGGGGGGCCCCGUCCACCUCCCUCCCCAGAACUCACGGUCAGGGGCUCCAGCGGCCAUCAGUGAAGCCACCCAACCUCACACGCGGACACAGCGUGAUCUGAAUGAUUUUGCCGACUGCAAACCUUCUGAGUCAAAAGAGAAACACAAACGUACAUUCCAAGGUCUCUGGAAAGUGCCUGGGAGGCAGGCUGCUGCCUGAGGCACUCGGACCCGUCCGUGCUGCAGUCUGCAAGCGAGGCUUUGCCACUGUCACACACGUGGUCUGGAGUUGACAUGAUGGUUUUGUUUUAUUUCUGAGAUGGCUGAGUUAUAAAUCCAGCUAGUGUGCAGUCAUUUCAUAAUUUUUAAUACGCAUCGUCUGCAAUAACAUUGUGACAGCUCCAUACCGUGGAUUGACACACAAUACUGAGAACAGAUUUAUCAUAUUUGGUCUUUAGGUAAAUAAUAAAUGUUUUAAAAUUGCCUAAAUAUACCAUUCUGAGCCGUUUCAUUCCACCAGGAAAAUACAGGGUUUUUUCCCCUCUCUUUAAAAAAAAUUAAAUACCAAAAUAACUACAUUUAAAUAAAUAACGUUAUGAUGAUGACAUUUAAAAAUUCACAAGAAGGCCAGCGCCCUCUUUCUGCCUGCAGGGCUGCUCAGCUCCGAGCCCGGAUCGCUCUGGGAGGCGAGUGGCUGCUUCCCGAGGAGGGCGAGGGCCGUGCGAGGCCGCCGCCU